GCUCCAGUAGCACAAUUGGUCAGUGCACAGUACUUAUAAGACAGUAAAUUGUGGAGCAAUGCUGAGGUUGUGAGUUCAAGCCUCACCUGGAGCA
Oryzias latipes (Japanese medaka) is the source of this 94-nucleotide non-coding RNA. The record is from Rfam. NCBI's taxonomy places the organism in Eukaryota, Metazoa, Chordata, Actinopteri, Beloniformes, Adrianichthyidae.